CCUACGGGUGGCAGCAGUGAGGAAUAUUGGUCAAUGGAGGCAACUCUGAACCAGCCAAGUAGCGUGCAGGAUGACGGUCCUAUGGGUCGUAAACUGCUUUUAUGCGGGGAUAAACUGAGUCACGUGUGGCCGAUUGCAGGUACCGCAUGAAUAAGGAUCGGCUAACUCCGUGCCAGCAGCCGCGGUAAUACGGAGGGUGCGGGCGUUAUCCGGAUUUAUUGGGUUUAAAGGGAGCGCAGGCCGCCCCUUAAGCGUGUUGUGAAAUGCCGCGGCUCAACCGUGGCACUGCAGUGCAAACUGGCGGGCUUGAGUGGGCCAGAAGUAGGCGGAAUUCGUGGUGUAGCGGUGAAAUGCUUAGAUAUCGCGAAGAACUCCGAUUGCGAAGGCAGCAUGCCGUAGCGUUACUGACGCUGAGGCUCGAAAGUGCGGGUAUCGAACAGGAUUAGAUACCCCGGUAGUC
Molecule: ribosomal RNA, 460 nt
Filed under: uncultured bacterium
Lineage: Bacteria
Description: partial 16S ribosomal RNA
Rfam family: Bacterial small subunit ribosomal RNA
Source: RNAcentral